This 337-nucleotide long non-coding RNA is filed under the name Medicago truncatula (barrel medic). RNAcentral's name for it is "lncRNA gene2559". Lineage: Eukaryota; Viridiplantae; Streptophyta; Magnoliopsida; Fabales; Fabaceae. The record is from RNAcentral.
UCCCUCUCUCCGCCAUUUCCUCUGAGGCCUCCAUCUCUCCCUCAACCGCGACAGCUUAAUUAGCUCUCUCCCCAACAAAUACGAUCAAAAGCAACUGCGAUCUCCUUCUGCGAUUCAACAGUUGGCGUUUUGUCAAAGUUUCCGUCGCCGAAUCUCUCCGUUGAAGAUAAGGUCAACAUCAUGAACGGAAACAAACGAAAAAGGGAUGGUGGUGUUGGUCCACAGAUAAAGACUCAAAUGCCCCGUACCAAUAAGUUGGUAGAUAUUAACCGAAAAUUAUCUGAUGCGCAAAGGAGUAGAAUUAUGAAAACUCCAUUCCGAUAUCUGGUGGAAAUGA